RNAcentral lists this ribosomal RNA (460 nucleotides) under uncultured bacterium. RNAcentral's name for it is "partial 16S ribosomal RNA". It matches the Rfam family "Bacterial small subunit ribosomal RNA", at positions 338 to 795 of the family's 1533-position model. The record is from RNAcentral.
CCUACGGGAGGCAGCAGUGAGGAAUAUUGGUCAAUGGACGAGAGUCUGAACCAGCCAAGUAACGUGAAGGAUGACUGCCCUAUGGGUUGUAAACUUCUUUUAUAUGGGAAUAAAACGUUCCACGUGUGGGAUUUUGUAUGUACCCUAUGAAUAAGGAUCGGCUAACUCCGUGCCAGCAGCCGCGGUAAUACGGAGGAUCCGAGCGUUAUCCGGAUUUAUUGGGUUUAAAGGGAGCGUAGGUGGAUUGUUAAGUCAGUUGUGAAAGUUUGCGGCUCAACCGUAAAAUUGCAGUUGAAACUGGCAGUCUUGAGUACAGUAGAGGUGGGCGGAAUUCGUGGUGUAGCGGUGAAAUGCUUAGAUAUCACGAAGAACUCCGAUUGCGAAGGCAGUUCACUGGACUGCAACUGACACUGAGGCUCGAAAGUGUGGGUAUCAAACAGGAUUAGAUACCCUAGUAGUC